This 433-nucleotide ribosomal RNA is filed under the name uncultured bacterium. Its description in RNAcentral is "partial 16S ribosomal RNA". It matches the Rfam family "Bacterial small subunit ribosomal RNA", at positions 28 to 507 of the family's 1533-position model. The record is from RNAcentral.
AGCGAACGCUAGCGGCAGGCUUAACACAUGCAAGUCGAGCGGGCCUUUCGGGGUCAGCGGCGGACGGGUGAGUAACGCGUGGGAACGUGCCCUCUGGCUCGGAAUAACUCAGGGAAACUUGAGCUAAUACCGGGUACGCCCUUUUGAGGAAAGGCUUGCUGCCGGAGGGUGGGCCCGCGUCGGAUUAGCUAGUUGGGGAGGUAACGGCUCACCACGGCGACGAUCAGUAGCUGGUCUGAGAGGAUGAUCAGCCACACUGGGGCUGAGACACGGCCCAGACUCCUACGGGAGGCAGCAGUGGGGAAUAUUGGACAAUGGGCGCAAGCCUGAUCCAGCCAUGCCGCGUGAGUGAUGAAGGCCUUAGGGUUGUAAAGCUCUUUUAUCCGGGACGAUAAUGACGGUACCGGAGGAAUAAGCCCCGGCUAACUUCGUG